Molecule: ribosomal RNA, 459 nt
Filed under: uncultured bacterium
Lineage: Bacteria
Description: partial 16S ribosomal RNA
Rfam family: Bacterial small subunit ribosomal RNA
Source: RNAcentral
CCUACGGGUGGCAGCAGUGAGGAAUAUUGGUCAAUGGCCGGAAGGCUGAACCAGCCAAGCCGCGUGAAGGACGACGGUGCUAAGCAUUGUAAACUUCUUUUGUCAAGGGACAAAAUCAGGCUCGAGAGCCUGAACGAGGGUACUCGAAGAAAAAGCAUCGGCUAACUCCGUGCCCGCAGCCCCGGUAAUUCGGAGGAUGCGAGCGUUAUCCGGAUUUAUUGGGUUUAAGGGGUGCGUAGGCGGACUGUUAAGUCAGCGGUAAAAGCCCGGGGCUCAACCCCGGCGCGCCGUUGAAACUGGCUGUCUGGAGAGGUCGAGAAGUAUGCGGAAUGCGCGGUGUAGCGGUGAAAUGCUUAGAUAUCACGCAGAACUCCGAUUGCGAAGGCAGGAUACCGGCGGCGAACUGACGCUGAGGCACGAAAGCGUGGGUAUCGAACAGGAUUAGAUACCCCUGUAGUC